RNAcentral lists this ribosomal RNA (520 nucleotides) under uncultured Entrophospora. RNAcentral's name for it is "SSU rRNA". It matches the Rfam family "Eukaryotic small subunit ribosomal RNA", at positions 569 to 1085 of the family's 1831-position model. The record is from RNAcentral. Lineage: Eukaryota; Fungi; Glomeromycota; Glomeromycetes; Entrophosporales; Entrophosporaceae.
AGCAGCCGCGGUAAUUCCAGCUCCAAUAGCGUAUAUUAAAGUUGUUGCAGUUAAAAAGCUCGUAGUUGAAUUUCGGAAUUGACACAUCGGUCGUGCCUUAAGGGGUAUGAACUGGUGUAGUCAAUUUCUCACCUUCUGGAGAACCGCGAUGCCCUUAAUUGGGUGUCACGGGGAACCAGGACCUUUACUUUGAAAAAAUUAGAGUGUUUAAAGCAGGCAUUUUGCUUGAAUACAUUAGCAUGGAAUAAUAAAAUAGGACGGCAUGAUUCUAUUUUGUUGGUUUCUAGGAUCACCGUAAUGAUUAAUAGGGAUAGUUGGGGGCAUUAGUAUUCAAUUGUCAGAGGUGAAAUUCUUGGAUUUAUUGAAGACUAACUACUGCGAAAGCAUUUGCCAAGGAUGUUUUCAUUAAUCAAGAACGAAAGUUAGGGGAUCGAAGACGAUCAGAUACCGUCGUAGUCUUAACCAUAAACUAUGCCGACUAGGAAUCAGACGAUGUUAAUUUUUAAUGACUCGUUUGGCA